Molecule: non-coding RNA, 395 nt
Organism: Cinara cedri
Lineage: Eukaryota; Metazoa; Arthropoda; Insecta; Hemiptera; Aphididae
Source: the annotation of a GenBank genome assembly
ACCUGGCGCACAAAAUCGGAUAUUUUGCAAAAAUACUCGAAAUGCCUACCAAUAUCCAUACAUUACUACGUUGUGUAUACGUAAUAUUACAAACUAUACCGUAUACACAUUCACACUCUAGUGCACACCUUGCACGGCUAAGCUCGGCACUAUUAAUUAUAUCGUGUACCCCGAGUGCUGCGGAGAUUUGCUGCAGAAUUUACCGCCGCCUGUACGCACCACGCCACAUAAACUGUAUACAUAAUAAUUAAGGCCGAGAAUGUGGGAACAAUCUGGUUUGAUAUCGAUAUAUUCGCAGCGACGUUUUCAACAUCGGCCUAAUUUAAGCCGUGCUGUAAUGUACAAAUUAACACUGCGAGGCGAAAAACAGCCGCUACGUUUCGUUCAUUUCGUGA